UGGGGAAUAUUGCACAAUGGGCGAAAGCCUGAUGCAGCAACGCCGCGUGAGCGAAGAAGGUCUUCGGAUCGUAAAGCUCUGUCCUUGGGGAAGAUAAUGACGGUACCCUUGGAGGAAGCCACGGCUAACUACGUGCCAGCAGCCGCGGUAAUACGUAGGUGGCAAGCGUUGUCCGGAUUUACUGGGUGUAAAGGGCGUGUAGGCGGAGAAGCAAGUCAGAAGUGAAAUCCAUGGGCUUAACCCAUGAACUGCUUUUGAAACUGUUUCCCUUGAGUAUCGGAGAGGCAGGCGGAAUUCCUAGUGUAGCGGUGAAAUGCGUAGAUAUUAGGAGGAACACCAGUGGCGAAGGCGGCCUGCUGGACGACAACUGACGCUGAGGCGCGAAAGCGUGGGGAGCAAACAGGGAUUAGAUACCCUGGUAGU
This 423-nucleotide ribosomal RNA is filed under the name uncultured Oscillospiraceae bacterium. RNAcentral's name for it is "bacterial SSU rRNA". It matches the Rfam family "Bacterial small subunit ribosomal RNA", at positions 355 to 794 of the family's 1533-position model. Lineage: Bacteria; Bacillati; Bacillota; Clostridia; Eubacteriales; Oscillospiraceae. The record is from RNAcentral.